GAUGAAGAACGCAGUGAAAUGCGAUAAGUAAUGUGAAUUGCAGAAUUCAGUGAAUCAUCGAAUCUUUGAACGCACCUUGCGCUCCUUGGUAUUCCGAGGAGCAUGCCUGUUUGAGUGUCAUUAAUAUAUCAACCUUCUCUUUUUUGAGUUGUUUGGAUGUGGGGGUUUGCUUGCCUCUUAAAUGAUUCAGCUCCCCUGAAAUGCAUUAGCAGAACAACCUGUUCAUUAGCGUGAUAAUUAUCUAUGCUAUUGAAUGUGAGGGCAGUUCAGCUUUCUAACCGUCCUUGGACAAUUCAUCAUUAAUGUGACCUCAAAUCAGGUAGGACUACCCGCUGAACUUAAGCAUAUCAAUAAGCGGAGGA
Molecule: unclassified non-coding RNA, 362 nt
Filed under: soil metagenome
Description: partial contains 5.8S ribosomal RNA, internal transcribed spacer 2, and large subunit ribosomal RNA
Rfam family: 5.8S ribosomal RNA (bases 1-120)
Source: RNAcentral